Molecule: long non-coding RNA, 1176 nt
Filed under: Gouania willdenowi (blunt-snouted clingfish)
Lineage: Eukaryota; Metazoa; Chordata; Actinopteri; Blenniiformes; Gobiesocidae
Description: lncRNA (ENSGWIG00000013108.1)
Source: RNAcentral
GUUUAAUAUAUUUUUGUUGUUGUUUUGUAUAUUUUUGUUGUUAUGUGUGAUUUUGGAGUCAUUUUGUGUAUUUGACUCAAAUUUUGUGUGUUUUUGGAGUCAUUUUGAGUAUUUAUUUGUCAUUUAGUUUAUUAAUGUUUACAUUUGUCUUUGUUUUUAGAUGGAUGUACUGUAUGUAUGAUAUACAAAUAUUUAAUUUUACAUUCAUUUUGUGUAUUUUUGUUGUCCUUUUGACUAUUUUUCUGUAUUUUGCAUGUUUAUUUGAGGGGGCCGCACAUAAUUAAAACAAGGACCGCAUUUGGCCCCCGGGCCGCCGAAUUCCUAUGUCUGCUUUAGGAUGUCUGUUUAUGAUUGUCGAUUUCAGAUGAUAGAGAAAACUUUGGUUGGCCACAAGAUGAGUUUUGGUGUUCCCCUUUGCAGGAUGAUGAUGAUGAUGAUGAUGGUAAUGGUGACAUGUACGAACCGCCUCCCUGUGGGCCAGCAGUCAAAGUGCGUGAGAGACCAGUGGAGGAGAACGUCUAUCUGGAUAAGCAGUCCAGUCCUACUGUUCUACAGAGACAGGCCAUCCCACCACACAGAAGCUACAAACCAGUAACAAAAACUGUAUGUCAUAGAAGUUAGAUUUUUUUUUUUUUUUUUCAAAUAUUAUCGUUGGGCUUGUAUGUGUAACAUCAAGUGUUUUUAACUAUAAUAAUUAAUCCAGAAAACUCAACAAUGUGGCCCUUUAUUCUUCGACACAAACACCAGGAAACGUGAGUGUGUAUUCAGCUCCUGCAUGUCUUCUUCUGUGGUUUAAUCAUUCACAUCUCUGCGUCUAACUAACCUUUCCUUUUAACAUUCUUCCUUUAAGCUCCUGAGAUUGACAGAAAGGAGAAACCUGGGAGAAAGGCAGCAAUGUUUCCUCCUGCUGCAGCAUCACUUCCUCCAUCCAUUGAGGAAGGUGCAGUGAUUUCAUUAAACUAACUCCUCAGCUGCAAAAACAGACCAAUGGUACCACAGCAAGACUCCAAAUUUCACCAUUAAAUCAACCACACGUGAUACAGAUUUACAACUUCCACCAAAAAGUAGCCCCAAAACUGAAGACACUUUUGUACAUUUAAACCUAUUGUGAAUUAUGAAGUCCAUAACUCUGACUUUUUUUCCCCCAAAUACAUAAUAAACCAAUUUCCUCCCACA